This is a long non-coding RNA of Saccostrea echinata, 920 nucleotides long. RefSeq lists it as uncharacterized. The record is from RefSeq and is a predicted model, not a curated record. The transcript is spliced from 5 exons. NCBI's taxonomy places the organism in Eukaryota, Metazoa, Mollusca, Bivalvia, Ostreida, Ostreidae.
GGGAACUGCUGUCACCAUUAGCUUGGAAUGGAAUUUGUAUUUUGACAAAAGAUGCAGACAUUUAAAGACCCGUUGAAGUACUCGAUUCACACAUGCAGCGCCAGUAUAUAAUCAUCAAGUUUGAUGAAACGUCCUAAUAUGUAGAUGUAGAUGCUAAGUCAUUCAGUCACUUAGCUUGUGAGAAUGGAAUGCUCACAAAAAGGACAAGAGCUCAGAGCUGUAUGGAAAUUUAAACAAAGGGUCAGUUAACAGAGUUUGCAAAUAUGGAGGAUAAUAUAUCAAAGGCAGCAUAGGCGUCCAAACUCCUGUUCAAGGUGCUUUUAAUCAGAAGCUUAAGAGACAAAAGACGAGCCAUUGACAAGGCAAAACUGAAUGUUUUAUAUGAAAUUGAGCAAGAAAAGUUUGAAGUGUAUUUGGGAAUGAUCAACAUAAAACUUUCUGAGCUUUUGAAGCCGUCGUACCAAAAGUGAAUCCAUUCGUGACACCAAUUAUCUGACCACCCUCUAGCAGAACCAGUGAGGAAGUGAUUCUAGCCAACAUUUCAGAAGCUUAGGACCUUCAAUAAUUAGGAUCUUGGGGCAUGUUGGGGGAAAAUAGCAUUUGUUGAUUUUAUGGGAUCUUCCAAAUAUAGUUGUGUAGUAGAUAUUUGUGUACUUAAUACCUAUGUUUGUCACUCUAGUCAUAAAGUUUGUAUGGUAAAUGUAUAUGGACCACUGGAAGAUCAUUGUAACUGUAUACAAAUGUUGCAAAUAUACCCUGUUAAGGCUUUAGUGACCUUUCCCAAGGUCAUUUAAUGAAGCAAAAGGUCAUAAUUAAUGUUUUUUUUUUUAAAUCUAUUUUGUUUUAUUAUCAAAAAAUGUCAUAUGUUUGAGAUUACUCUAGGUACAAAGGAUUUUCUUUAACCAAAAGUCAUUUGUUUC